This 440-nucleotide ribosomal RNA is filed under the name uncultured bacterium. RNAcentral describes it as "partial 16S ribosomal RNA". It matches the Rfam family "Bacterial small subunit ribosomal RNA", at positions 338 to 795 of the family's 1533-position model. The record is from RNAcentral.
CCUACGGGAGGCAGCAGUGGGGAAUAUUGCACAAUGGGGGAAAGCCUGAUGCAGCGACGCCGCGUGAGUGAAGAAGUAUCUCGGUACGUAAAGCUCUAUUAGCAGGGAAGAAAAUGACGGUACGUGACUAAGCACCCCCGGCCAACUACGUGCCAGAAGCCGCGGUCAUACGUAGGGGGCAAGCGUUAUCCGGAUUUACUGGGUGUAAAGGGAGCGUAGAGGGCAGUACAAGUCUGGAGUGAAAGCCCGGGGCUUAACCCCGGAACUGCUUUGGAAACUGUGCGGCUGGAGUGCAGGAGGGGUAAGCGGAAUUCCGAGUGUAGCGGUGAAAUGCGUAGAUAUUAGGAGGAACACUGGUGGCGAAGGCGGCUUACUGGACUGUAACUGACGUUGAGGCUCGAAAGCGUGGGGAGCAAACAGGAUUAGAUACCCGUGUAGUC